This 293-nucleotide signal recognition particle RNA is filed under the name Aotus nancymaae (Ma's night monkey). Its description in RNAcentral is "Metazoan signal recognition particle RNA (ENSANAG00000003515.1)". It matches the Rfam family "Metazoan signal recognition particle RNA". Rfam says of the family: The signal recognition particle (SRP) is a universally conserved ribonucleoprotein. It is involved in the co-translational targeting of proteins to membranes. Lineage: Eukaryota; Metazoa; Chordata; Mammalia; Primates; Aotidae. The record is from RNAcentral.
GCCGGUGCAGUGGCUCGUGCCUGUAGUCCCAGCUACUCAGGAGGCUAAGGUGGGAGGAUCACUUGAGCCCAGGAGCUCUAGGCUGUAGUGCGCUAUGCCGAUCGGGUGUCCGCACUAAGUUCAGCAUCAAUAUAGUGACCUCCCAGGAGUGGGCGACCACCAGGUUGCCUAAGGAGGGGUGAACCAGCCCAGGUCUGAAAUGGAGCAGGUCAAAACUCCCGUGCUGAUCAGGAAUCACGCCUGUGAAUAGCCACUGCACUCCAGCCUGGACAACAUAGUGAGAUCCCGUCUCU